UCCUGGUGGCUCAGAGGCUAAAGCAUCUGCCUGCAAUGUAGGAGACCUGGGUUCAAUCCCUAGGUCAGGAA
Molecule: transfer RNA, 71 nt
Filed under: Ovis aries (sheep)
Lineage: Eukaryota; Metazoa; Chordata; Mammalia; Artiodactyla; Bovidae
Rfam family: tRNA
About the family: Transfer RNA (tRNA) molecules are approximately 80 nucleotides in length.
Source: Rfam by way of RNAcentral